Molecule: ribosomal RNA, 425 nt
Filed under: uncultured bacterium
Lineage: Bacteria
Description: partial 16S ribosomal RNA
Rfam family: Bacterial small subunit ribosomal RNA
Source: RNAcentral
GUGGGGAAUAUUGGACAAUGGGCGCAAGCCUGAUCCAGCCAUGCCGCGUGAGUGAUGAAGGCCUUAGGGUUGUAAAGCUCUUUCACCGGUGAAGAUAAUGACGGUAACCGGAGAAGAAGCCCCGGCUAACUUCGUGCCAGCAGCCGCGGUAAUACGAAGGGGGCUAGCGUUGUUCGGAAUUACUGGGCGUAAAGCGCACGUAGGCGGAUAUUUAAGUCAGGGGUGAAAUCCCAGAGCUCAACUCUGGAACUGCCUUUGAUACUGGGUAUCUCGAGUAUGGAAGAGGUAAGUGGAAUUCCGAGUGUAGAGGUGAAAUUCGUAGAUAUUCGGAGGAACACCAGUGGCGAAGGCGGCUUACUGGUCCAUUACUGACGCUGAGGUGCGAAAGCGUGGGGAGCAAACAGGAUUAGAUACCCCGGUAGUCC